AAAGAGGGUUUUUUAAAAACCACAAACAAUAAAGGAAAGAAUUAAU
Molecule: non-coding RNA, 46 nt
Organism: Heterocephalus glaber (naked mole-rat)
Lineage: Eukaryota; Metazoa; Chordata; Mammalia; Rodentia; Bathyergidae
Source: Rfam